Molecule: ribosomal RNA, 253 nt
Filed under: uncultured bacterium
Lineage: Bacteria
Description: partial 16S ribosomal RNA
Rfam family: Bacterial small subunit ribosomal RNA
Source: RNAcentral
UACGUAGGGUGCGAGCGUUGUUCGGAUUCACUGGGCGUAAAGGGUGCGUAGGUGGCUGGGCAAGUUUGAUGUGAAAUCUCCGGGCUUAACCCGGAAAAUGCAUUGAAAACUGCCCGGCUGGAGGGUUGGAAGGGGGACUGGAAUUCUCGGUGUAGCAGUGAAAUGCGUAGAUAUCGAGAGGAACACCAGUGGCGAAGGCGACUCACUGGCCCGAUACUGACGCUGAGGCACGAAAGCGUGGGGAGCAAACAGG